RNAcentral lists this ribosomal RNA (468 nucleotides) under Escherichia coli. RNAcentral describes it as "bacterial SSU rRNA". It matches the Rfam family "Bacterial small subunit ribosomal RNA", at positions 1 to 465 of the family's 1533-position model. The record is from RNAcentral. Lineage: Bacteria; Pseudomonadati; Pseudomonadota; Gammaproteobacteria; Enterobacterales; Enterobacteriaceae.
AAAUUGAAGAGUUUGAUCAUGGCUCAGAUUGAACGCUGGCGGCAGGCCUAACACAUGCAAGUCGAACGGUAACAGGAAGAAGCUUGCUUCUUUGCUGACGAGUGGCGGACGGGUGAGUAAUAUCUGGGAAACUGCCUGAUGGAGGGGGAUAACUACUGGAAACGGUAGCUAAUACCGCAUAACGUCGCAAGACCAAAGAGGGGGACCUUCGGGCCUCUUGCCAUCGGAUGUGCCCAGAUGGGAUUAGCUAGUAGGUGGGGUAACGGCUCACCUAGGCGACGAUCCCUAGCUGGUCUGAGAGGAUGACCAGCCACACUGGAACUGAGACACGGUCCAGACUCCUACGGGAGGCAGCAGUGGGGAAUAUUGCACAAUGGGCGCAAGCCUGAUGCAGCCAUGCCGCGUGUAUGAAGAAGGCCUUCGGGUUGUAAAGUACUUUCAGCGGGGAGGAAGGGAGUAAAGUUAAUA